GCCGGAUUAGUUUAGUGGUAAAACAAUUCAAUGGUAAUGAAUAGCCGCGAGUCCGAUUCUCGCAUCUGGCACCA
This 74-nucleotide transfer RNA is filed under the name Culicoidibacter larvae. Its description in RNAcentral is "Firmicutes bacterium CS-1 tRNA-Thr". It matches the Rfam family "tRNA". From Rfam's summary of the family: Transfer RNA (tRNA) molecules are approximately 80 nucleotides in length. Their secondary structure includes four short double-helical elements and three loops (D, anti-codon, and T loops). The record is from RNAcentral. Lineage: Bacteria; Bacillati; Bacillota; Culicoidibacteria; Culicoidibacterales; Culicoidibacteraceae.